RNAcentral lists this ribosomal RNA (253 nucleotides) under uncultured bacterium. RNAcentral's name for it is "partial 16S ribosomal RNA". It matches the Rfam family "Bacterial small subunit ribosomal RNA", at positions 524 to 776 of the family's 1533-position model. The record is from RNAcentral.
GACAGAGGGUGCAAGCGUUGUUCGGAAUCAUUGGGCGUAAAGGGCGCGUAGGCGGUUUUGUAAGUCGGAUGUGAAAGCCCAGGGCUCAACCUUGGAAGUGCAUCCGAAACUGCGAAACUCGAGUCCCGGAGAGGGUGGUGGAAUUCCCAGUGUAGAGGUGAAAUUCGUAGAUAUUGGGAGGAACACCAGUGGCGAAGGCGACCACCUGGACGGAGACUGACGCUGAGGCGCGAGAGCGUGGGGAGCAAACAGG